Long non-coding RNA from Poecilia latipinna (sailfin molly), 249 nucleotides. RefSeq lists it as uncharacterized. The transcript has 3 exons. The record is from RefSeq and is a predicted model, not a curated record. NCBI's taxonomy places the organism in Eukaryota, Metazoa, Chordata, Actinopteri, Cyprinodontiformes, Poeciliidae.
CUCCUCCCUGCUCCACCUUACUAAUUUGGGAGAAGAGUUUCAGACCCAUCAACCUGGAAGUUCAGAUGUUUUCAUUGAUAUCCAGCCUAUCUUUUGUAUGGCCAAGAAGAGAAAGGAGCGGCCGUCUUCUCAACAACAUGAAUUUUCUCCCUUAAGACAAGAUGAUGUAGCCCUGCAGCUGCUGCCAGUUCUCCUCCCUACUUACACAUUUGGGAGAAGAGUUUCAGAUCCAUCAACCUGGAAGUUCAG